UACGUAGGGUGCAAGCGUUGUCCGGAAUUAUUGGGCGUAAAGAGCUCGUAGGCGGUCUGUUGCGUCGGCUGUGAAAACCCCGGGGCUCAACCCCGGGCCUGCAGCCGAUACGGGCAGACUAGAGUUCGGCAGGGGAGACUGGAAUUCCUGGUGUAGCGGUGAAAUGCGCAGAUAUCAGGAGGAACACCGGUGGCGAAGGCGGGUCUCUGGGCCGAUACUGACGCUGAGGAGCGAAAGCGUGGGGAGCGAACAGG
Molecule: ribosomal RNA, 254 nt
Filed under: uncultured bacterium
Lineage: Bacteria
Description: partial 16S ribosomal RNA
Rfam family: Bacterial small subunit ribosomal RNA
Source: RNAcentral